GACGAACGCUGGCGGCGUGCUUAACACAUGCAAGUCGAACGGUGAACCAGAGCUUGCUCUGGGGAUCAGUGGCGAACGGGUGAGUAACACGUGGGCAACCUGCCCCAGACUCUGGGAUAACCUCGGGAAACCGAUGCUAAUACCGGAUACGACCACUUCGGACAUCCGACGGUGGUGGAAAGUUUUUCGGUCUGGGAUGGGCCCGCGGCCUAUCGGCUAGUUGGUGGGGUAAUGGCCUACCAAGGCGACGACGGGUAGCCGGCCUGAGAGGGCGACCGGCCACACUGGAACUGAGACACGGUCCAGACUCCUACGGGAGGCAGCAGUGGGGAAUAUUGCACAAUGGGCGAAAGCCUGAUGCAGCGACGCCGCGUGAGGGACGACGGGCCUUCGGGUGUAAACCUCUUCUAGCAGGACGAAGCGAAAGUGACUGUACCUGCAGAAGAAGCACCGGCUAACUACGUGCCAGCAGCCGCGGUAAU
This 482-nucleotide ribosomal RNA is filed under the name uncultured bacterium. Its description in RNAcentral is "bacterial SSU rRNA". It matches the Rfam family "Bacterial small subunit ribosomal RNA", at positions 28 to 524 of the family's 1533-position model. The record is from RNAcentral.